This 1056-nucleotide ribosomal RNA is filed under the name uncultured eukaryote. RNAcentral describes it as "SSU rRNA". It matches the Rfam family "Eukaryotic small subunit ribosomal RNA", at positions 577 to 1674 of the family's 1831-position model. The record is from RNAcentral.
CGGUAAUUCCAGCUCCAAUAGCGUAUGCUAAAAUUGUUGCGGUUAAAACGCUCGUAGUUGUACGUUCCUCCAGGGCACUCGGAUUUUUCGUACAGAAGGUUCCGAGUGGUCUGUGAAAUUAUCUUACAAAGCGGUCUCUUGCUGAGCACGCGGAAAGGGAUACUUGUACCUUGAAGAAAGUAGAGUGCUUCAAGCAGAUUAUUGGCUGAAUAUUAUAGCAUGGAAUAGUUGGAGAAGACACUGGUUCUAUUAGAGAUUUGUAGAGCAGGUGUAAUAGUUGAGAGGAACAGAAGGGGGCAUUCAUAUUCGCAUGUGAGAGGUGGAAUUCUUGGAUCUUGCGAAGGUGGACUACUGCGAAAGCAUUUGUCAAGAUUGUUUUCAUUAAUCAAGAACGAAAGUUAGGGGAUCGAAGACGAUUAGAUACCGUCCUAGUCUUAACCAUAAACCAUGCCUUUUGGAGAUCAGGUGAACCUCGAACGCAGAGGAUUCUGGCAUCCUAGGGGAAACUAAAAUUUUUGGGUUCCGGGGGGAGUAUGGUCGCAAGACUGAAACUUAAAGGAAUUGACGGAAGGGCACCACCAGGAGUGGAGCUUGCGGCUUAAUUUGACUCAACGCGAGAAAUCUCACCAGGUCCAGACAUGGGAAGGAUUGACAGAGAAGCAGCUUUUUCUCGAUUACAUGGGUGGUGGUGCAUGGCCGUUCUCAGUUGGUGGGGUGAUCUGUCUGGUUGAUUCCGAUAACGAACGAGACCUCGACCUACUAAAUAAUUAGCACUUUGCUGUAAGUGAUGAUUUCUUAGAGGGACUUUUCGUGUCCAACGAAAGGAGGUAUGAGGCUAUAACAGGUCUGUGAUGCCCUUAGAUGUUCUGGGCUGCACGCGCGCUACACUGACAUAGACAGAGAGAUGUUCCUAUCCGAGGGGAGUGGAGAAACUUGAGAGGAUAUGUCGUGAUGGGGAUAGUUUAUUGCAAUUAUUGAACUUAAACGAGGAAUUCCUAGUAAGCGUAUGGAAUGAACUUACGCUGAUUACGUCCCUGCCCCUUGUACACACCGCCC